This 1750-nucleotide long non-coding RNA is filed under the name Helianthus annuus (common sunflower). Its description in RNAcentral is "sRNA HanXRQr2_Chr12g0531301". Lineage: Eukaryota; Viridiplantae; Streptophyta; Magnoliopsida; Asterales; Asteraceae. The record is from RNAcentral.
AAAAUCUAAAAGACUAGAAACUAAAGAAACAGGAUGCAGACCUGGAUUCACAGCUUACAAAAACGAAUAUCAAAGUAUUAACAUGAUCAAACUUUGCCCUAUUUUCACUAUUGGAACUAAUAACCUACACAUAUAUAGUUUUAGGAUCAAAUACAAAUAGAUUUUGCGUGCUAAGCAUAUAAUUAAUUAGAGUAAUAAAGCCAACACUAGAGUUAUUAUUAUUACUCUACAGUUUUUGAGCUAGUGUAAUUAUUUAUUUAUUACUACUUUGCUUUAUUUUGUGUAGUGUAAUUACUCUAGAUCAAAACUGUAGAGUAAUUCUAGUUAUCUGUUCGUUUAGACUUUAGUAGGUUAAUUUCAUUUGUACAGAAUUCCACCCCUUUAAAUAUAAACUUCUUUGUUACGCCACUCCUUAACUCAUAGAUGAUCAUUAGACUCUUAGUAACUAAUCGAAUCAUUACAUUUUUCACCAGCAAGGGUCAUAAAUGCCCUAACUUCCAAACAGAUCUCAUUCCUUCAAUGUCGAUAAUCAUACCGUUGCACCAAAUCAAGUAAAUUAUACCAAACUAUGAACAAUUAAAUAGUAAAUCUCUGUUCUCUUUUCAUUUUUAAAAUAAUUUGACCUGGAUGGCUGGAUCCACAGCUUACAAAAACAUUUAUCAAAGUACUAACAUGAUCAAAGUAGCCUUAUUUUCCACUAUUGGAACUAAUAACCUAUUCAAAUAUAUUUUUCUUGCUACACCACUCCUUAGCUCAUAGAUGAUCAUUAGAAUCUCAGUAAAUGCAAGGACCGCAGAGUAAACGAUCGAAUCAUUACAAUUUUUCACCAACAAAGGUCAUAAAUGCCCUAACUUCCAAAACAAAAUUCACUCAUUCAACAUCAAUAAGCAUACCGUUGCACCAAAUCAAGUAAACGAUUCCAAAACAAGUACCCUACAAACAACUAAUAGUAAAUCUCCGCUCUCUUUUCGUUUUCAAUAUAAUUCAUAGUAAAUCAUACCAAAGUUAUUUACCCUGAUUUUCUAUUAUAAACAUAUGCGUAGGACAUUAUUUCUAAUCGUUAUCGCCUCCAAAAGAAACAAAAAACCGUAGUUGCAACCCGUGGACGUAGUUCAACGACUCAACUUACACAAAACCACAUUAAAUCCCUAUCUCUUAUACUUUUCUUAUACCUAACAAUAAAUGCCCUAAUUUCGAAAACAAAAUCAAGUAAACAAUUCCAAAAGAAGUAAACUACAAACAAUUAAUAACAAAUCAUAUCAAAACAAGUAAACUUACAGUGAAAAGUAUGAUAGCAACAACAGCUUGUAUAGCCUGUUGAAGAAGAACACCUUUGACAACAGUUUUCUUGGAAACGAGAUUCUUAUCAUCUUCUUCUUUCUUGGAGUGCAAUCGAUACUUCUCACUGGAUCCAAACAAGACGUAAAAUCCAGAAUAAAUCCAGUACACCACUAACGGAGCCACGGUUCCCAAAAACUCAUCCGAUAUCUUAACCUCCAUCAAAUCUAAUCCUUCCAGACAAACAACAGUCACCGCUAUAACAAUUCGAAACCCUAACGGGAAAACAGAACGAGAAAGUGUGAAAUUGGAGGCCUUUUUAUAUAGGUUUUGAUGAGCAAUGAGAAGAAACGAGAUGAUUGAUCGUUGAAAACGACGACGUGUUGUUGUUCUUGUUCUUGUUUGAAGGAGAAAAAUGUGCGGGAGGGUGUUGGGGGGUAGGGUGGUCUGUUGGGGACGUGGAGUGAUGUGA